This 347-nucleotide unclassified non-coding RNA is filed under the name soil metagenome. Its description in RNAcentral is "partial contains 5.8S ribosomal RNA, internal transcribed spacer 2, and large subunit ribosomal RNA". The stretch from base 1 to 121 matches the Rfam family "5.8S ribosomal RNA", at positions 35 to 154 of the family's 154-position model. The record is from RNAcentral.
GAUGAAGAACGUAGCGAAAUGCGAUAAGUAAUGCGAAUUGCAGAAUUCCAGUGAGUCAUCGAAUCUUUGAACGCACAUUGCGCCCAUUGGUAUUCCGAUGGGCAUGCCUGUUCGAGCGUCAUUGCUGCCCUCAAGCACGGCUUGUGUGUUGGGCCCCGUCCUCCGAUCCCGGGGGACGGGCCCGAAAGGCAGCGGCGGCACCGCGUCCGGUCCUCGAGCGUAUGGGGCUUUGUCACCCGCUCUGUAGGCCCGGCCGGCGCUUGCCGAUCAACCCAAAUUUUUAUCCAGGUUGACCUCGGAUCAGGUAGGGAUACCCGCUGAACUUAAGCAUAUCAAUAAGCGGAGGA